Molecule: ribosomal RNA, 22 nt
Filed under: Lactarius pseudomucidus
Lineage: Eukaryota; Fungi; Basidiomycota; Agaricomycetes; Russulales; Russulaceae
Description: partial 18S ribosomal RNA
Source: RNAcentral
GUGACCUGCGGANGGAUCAUUA